CAAUUAUGCUUGAGUCUAAAUUUUCUUUACUUUCGUUUUACUUACAAAUACUAUAUAUGAAUAUUUGUUACACAUUAUAAUCGAAUGCUAAAAAUAUGCAAAAUUCUUGUGUAAGUAAAAUGAUACCUGUUAAAAAGAAAAAUUAGAAACAACAUUUGGGGUAUACAAUACACCUGACCUGUUUGGUUAUCAGGUUAUCUGGUAAUGUAGUUAUAUUUUAUAUAAAUAUAUUUUAUAUAUUUAGUUUACAACAAAACACGACAUCUAGUGAAUGAUAAUUUUUAACUAAAUAACUUGAUAACCAGACAGGUGUGAUUACACCAAUUGUUUCGAAAUUACACUUUCAGUACGAGUUAAUAUUAAAAAUUCUUCAAACUCUCAAAAUUUAAGAAGUGAGCAUGUGUAUGUAUGCGUAAUUAAUAUGAAAAUACAUAAAUAAUAAGUUUAUUUGUUAUACUAUAUAAAUCUAUAUACAUGCGUACAUACAUAUGUAUCUUAUAUGACUAACACUCAUAAAUAUAGAAUAUUGGUUAACAUCCACUCCAUCCUUAGAGUAACAGUAACUCAUCUUAUGCUUCUGUGCUAAGUUAGAUUGAAACUCGCCAUGAUUAUGCGUAUGUAUGUAUGUAUGUAGUAUAUGUAAGGCUGAUUAUUUAGUUGGAUUUUGCAGGUCCAUUUAGUUAUGGGGGCUAGUAGUAUGGCAUGCCUUACAAUAUGAAAAGAUAUAUAAGUAUAUAUAUUUAUACAUAUAUGUACAUAUGGGUAUCACAGUUUCUAUAUGAAUACUUCCAGUAAAAUAACCUAAAUUUAAUGAAUUGUUUUUACGAUAAGUAUUUUGAGAUGGAGUUUAAGUGUACCUAAUAAUUUCGAUGCUUGAUUGCAGAACUAAUACUAAUACAUAUGUAUGUCUGUGUAUCAAGACACAAUUGUCUUAUAAACUAGAAAUGCAAUUAGUUUUUUGGUAUAUAGUUAGAAAAGUCGCAUAUCCUAGUACAUACGUUGACGGUAUUUGAAAUUCGUGUUACCGCACUGUACUCUUAUUUCCACAGAUAUGCAUUGCCGGUAGCUGCCAGAGCUUAUUACAAUUUAUUCGUAUGAAUUGUAGUUUGCCUAUACAUAGUUGUAUAUGUAUAUAGGGUUCAUACAUAUGUAUGUGC
This is a long non-coding RNA of Rhagoletis zephyria (snowberry fruit fly), 1157 nucleotides long. RefSeq lists it as uncharacterized. The record is from RefSeq and is a predicted model, not a curated record. Lineage: Eukaryota; Metazoa; Arthropoda; Insecta; Diptera; Tephritidae.